GACGAACGCUGGCGGCGUGCUUAACACAUGCAAGUCGAACGGAAAGGCCCGGCUUUUGUUGGGUGCUCGAUUGGCGAACGGGGGAGUAACACGUGAGUAACCUGCCCUUGACUGUGGGGUAACUUCAGGGAACUGGGGCGAUUACCGGGUAUGAUCUUCUGCUGCGUGUUGUUGGUUGGUAAGUGUCGGUGUUGGGGUAUGGACUCGCGGCUUAUCAGCUGGUUGGUGGGGUAGUUGCGUACCAAGGCUUUGACGGCUAGGCGGCCUGAGAGGGUGACCGGCCACAUUGGGACUGAGGUACGCCCCAGACUCCUACGGGAGGCAACAGUGGGAAAUCUUGCAGAAUGGGCGGAAGCCUGAUGCAGAAACGCCGGGUGCGGGAAGACCGCUUUUGGGUGGUAAACAGCUUUCGACUGUGACGAAGAGUGCGUGACGGUAACGAGUAAAGAAGCCACGGCUAACUACGUG
This 468-nucleotide ribosomal RNA is filed under the name uncultured bacterium. RNAcentral describes it as "partial 16S ribosomal RNA". It matches the Rfam family "Bacterial small subunit ribosomal RNA", at positions 28 to 507 of the family's 1533-position model. The record is from RNAcentral.